Molecule: ribosomal RNA, 513 nt
Filed under: uncultured bacterium
Lineage: Bacteria
Description: partial 16S ribosomal RNA
Rfam family: Bacterial small subunit ribosomal RNA
Source: RNAcentral
GACGAACGCUGGCGGCGUGCUUAACACAUGCAAGUCGAACGAAAAGAGGGAAAGAGCUUGCUCUUUCCGGAAUUGAGUGGCAAACGGGUGAGUAACACGUAAACAACCUGCCUUCAGGAUGGGGACAACAGACGGAAACGACUGCUAAUACCGAAUAAGUUCCAAGGGCCGCAUGGCCCAUGGAAGAAAAGGUGGCCUCUACCUGUAAGCUAUCGCCUGAAGAGGGGUUUGCGUCUGAUUAGCUGGUUGGAGGGGUAACGGCCCACCAAGGCGACGAUCAGUAGCCGGUCUGAGAGGAUGAACGGCCACACUGGAACUGAGACACGGUCCAGACGCCUACGGGAGGCAGCAGUGGGGAAUCUUCCGCAAUGGGCGAAAGCCUGACGGAGCAACGCCGCGUGAGUGAUGACGGCCUUCGGGUUGUAAAACUCUGUGAUCCGGGACGAAAAGGCAGAGUGCGAAGAACAAACUGCAUUGACGGUACCGGAAAAGCAAGCCACGGCUAACUACGUG